Molecule: ribosomal RNA, 253 nt
Filed under: uncultured bacterium
Lineage: Bacteria
Description: partial 16S ribosomal RNA
Rfam family: Bacterial small subunit ribosomal RNA
Source: RNAcentral
UACGGAAGGGGCAAGCGUUGUUCGGAAUUAUUGGGCGUAAAGGGCGCGUAGGUGGUUCUGUAUGUCUACCGUGAAAGCAUACGGCUCAACUGUAUUUUGUCGGUAGAAACUGCAGGACUUGAGGCUGGGAGGGGCUGGUGGAAUUCCCUGUGUAGCGGUGAAAUGCGUAGAGAUGGGGGAGAACACGCGUGGCGAAGGCGGCCAGCUAGACCAGUUCUGACACUGAGGCGCGACAGCGUGGGGAGCAAACAGG